CCCUUAGACGGUCUGGGCCGCACGCGCGCUACACUGACCAGUGCAACAAGCAUCCGUCCUUGGCCGACAGGCCCGGGCAAUCUUUGAACGCUGGUCGUGAUGGGGAUAGACUUUUGCAAUUUUUGGUCUUCAACGAGGAAUUCCUAGUAAACGCAAGUCAUCAACUUGCAUUGAUUACGUCCCUGCCCUUUGUACACACCGCCCGUCGCACCUACCGAUUGAAUGGUCCGGUGAAGCCUCCGGAUUGGCGCGCACCUCGGUGCCGCCGAGAAGUUGGCUAAACCUUACCAUUUAGAGGAAGGUGAAGUCGUANCA
Molecule: ribosomal RNA, 315 nt
Filed under: uncultured eukaryote
Lineage: Eukaryota
Description: partial 18S ribosomal RNA
Rfam family: Eukaryotic small subunit ribosomal RNA
Source: RNAcentral